ACUCCGCGUGCAGGCCCGCCUCCUUCCACAUCAACCAGUCUAAGGUUGCUCCCACCAGACUAGGAGGACUGGAGAGUAGGGUUGGGGUCAAAGGGUAGCCUCCUGCAGGUCGCCUCCUCCUGUGGCUUUCCCGGACGUCGCGCUGGGACUUCCUGCCGACACCGCACUUCUUCCCAGACUCCCACCUGCGCCGCUGGGGGCUUGGGUCCAGUCUUGCUCUGCCACCCAACCCUGGAGUGCAAUGGCGCAAUCUUGGCUCACUGCAACCUCUGCUUCCCAAGUUGAAGUGAUUCUCCUACCUCAGCCUCCCGAGUAGCUGGGAUUACAGGCAUGUGCCACCACACCUGGCUGAUCUUUCUUUUAGUAGAGAUGGGGUUUCACCAUGUUGUCCAGGCUGGUCUCGAACUCCUGACUUCGUGAUCCACCCACCUUGGCCUCCCAAAGUGCUGGGAUUACAGAUUUCCAGGGUCUUUGAAGAUGUUAGUUCACUGUUUAUUCAUGUGGGUUCCUGUAAAUGUCUGCAGCCAAUCUGGAAGUGGAGCUGUAUUUGGAACUUUUUGAAUCUAAAUCAGUUUGGGAGAAGUGAGUCUUUUCAGAAUUUGACCUUUCAAUGAAUGUCUCAAAUUUGUUUACGUCAUCUUUAAUGUUUUCAAUACUGUCUUCAAAACAAUUUGGUAAGUUUAAAAUUUAUUCUUCCACAAUUUUGGUAAGUUUAAAAUUUAUUCUUCCAUAUGUUAUACCAUUGUUGCUCUUAUAAAUGGUAUUGACUUUUAAAUUUUAUUAUUUCUAUUCCUGAGUAUAAGUUGCAAGUUUAUCUUUAUUAAGAUAGUAAACAUUUUCAUUAAUUUAAAUAUAGAUCCUUUGAAAUUUUCCAUUUAGGUAAUCAUAUUAUAAAUAAUGACAGAUUUACUUCUACCUUUCUGGUCCUUAGGUUUUUAAAUAUCUUUUCCUAGCCUGCCUCACUUAAGAUUCCAGUAAAAUACUAAGUAGUGGAUACCAUUGUCAUCUUCCUGAUUUUAAACUCAUUUUCUAUUUUCCACCAUUCAUUUAUUGUUUACUUUUGCAUUUUUUUAUACAAUGUUUAUCAUAUUUUCAAAGAUUUUUCUCAGUAAUACCUCUUUAUGGCUUUUUCUUUAUCUACUGAGAUUAUCCUAUUUUUUCAAUAAUGCAUUAAAUGCUUUGAACACUGCCUCA
Homo sapiens (human) is the source of this 1194-nucleotide long non-coding RNA. RefSeq lists it as uncharacterized. Lineage: Eukaryota; Metazoa; Chordata; Mammalia; Primates; Hominidae. The transcript is spliced from 3 exons. The record is from RefSeq and is a predicted model, not a curated record.